CCGAAUCAAAGUAUUUCAUCUAAAUUGAAACGGAGGGAGUAGUUAAUAACAACAACAACAACAACAACAACAAUCCAGCAGAAUCCCACUAAUGAGGUCUAGGGAGGAUAAAGUAUAUGCAGAUACUACCCCAACCCCGAGGGAUAGAGAGAAAUGAGUUAAUAAAUAAGCAAAUAAUAAAGAUAUUUAUAUUGUAAGAUAAAUGAAAGAGGAUGUUCUUUGAGUCAAAAUGCCAUUCAGCAUCAAAGUGGAACGGAUUUGACAUCGGAGAGAUAGUGGGCAUGUCUAAUAUUAUAAUUGGAAAGAUAAAAACUCUAUAAAUAAAGGCACUACAAAGGUGCUUUAUCUUCCCAUUUGAUCCUUACAAAUUACAAGAUUUUUGCCUUCUUUUUUUUCCAAGGUUCUCAAAUGGUGAAAAUGACAAAUAAAGGGAAGUGCACUUCAUAAAUCCACGGUCCCAAUAAGUUGUUGGCUGUCAUCCUUACGCCUCAAUAAAUACUCUUAGACAGCUUACCAAAAAGAAAAGGGAAAUUUUUAAAUAUAACAUUUAAUUUAAAAGCAGAAUCUCGAUAUAAUAUACAUACCUCUCAUACUUAUAUAUAUAUCACUGCAAUUACCCUUUUUAUUUUUUUUGAGUUAGACUUGGUCAUUUAGCUACCAGUCCAACUGUAUGAACAAGCUGUUGGCUGGUCUCUUACUAGAGACAUCAUAGUAGAGUCUUUAAUAAUUUAAUUGACAUGGGACCAGUUCUCUCUCUCCUCCCUCAACUAUUUUUAGUAUAAGAUAGUCAUAAUCAUAAUACUAAGUAAAGAUACCUAAGAUUAAUCAAAUACCAACUUGUUCGUGUUUCUAAUCUAACUGCCUCAUAAAGGUUUAGGGAAUAUAUAUAUAUAUUCUCAAGAGCAAGGUGGUAAGUUCUUGGAGGGAAGGAUGCCGGGGGUCUAUUUAGAAACAACCUCUCUACCCCAGGGUAGAGGUAAGGUCUGUGUACAUAUUAUCCUCCCCAUACUCCACUAUGUAGGAUUAUACUGGAUUGUUGUUA
This 1042-nucleotide long non-coding RNA is filed under the name Nicotiana benthamiana. RNAcentral's name for it is "long non-coding RNA (NBEN_LNC005276)". The record is from RNAcentral. Lineage: Eukaryota; Viridiplantae; Streptophyta; Magnoliopsida; Solanales; Solanaceae.